This 125-nucleotide small RNA is filed under the name uncultured Erwinia sp. Its description in RNAcentral is "Leucine operon leader". It matches the Rfam family "Leucine operon leader". Rfam says of the family: At least 6 amino acid operons are known to be regulated by attenuation. Lineage: Bacteria; Pseudomonadati; Pseudomonadota; Gammaproteobacteria; Enterobacterales; Erwiniaceae. The record is from RNAcentral.
UGGUUUUAUCCGCCUCCUGUCUCUACUACUUAACGCACCUUCGCUGCGCGGGAGAGUUGUGGGCGGGAUCAGAAACUGAUUCAGGCUGACAAAACAAAAAACCCGCGCACUGCGCGGGUUUUUUU